AAGGGCAGGGGAGGUUUCUGGUCUGACAAGGUACUCUGGGGCAGGGAGCCUCCAGGGCAUAAGUCCCAGAAUUGUGGAAGUGAGGCCUGGCAUUUACAGUAGGUGUCCGGAAAAGUGACCUUUUUUUUCAUCUCUCAGUGCUGUCUGGCUUGUCACAAAAAGUGUUUGGAGACCCUGGCUAUCCAGUGUGGUCACAAGAAGCUUCAGGGCCGCCUGCAGCUGUUUGGUCAAGACUUCAGCCAGGCAGCCCACAGCACCCCUGAUGGGGUGCCCUUCAUUAUUAAAAAGUGUGUCUGUGAGAUUGAGCGGCGGGCACUGCACACUAAGGUGAGGUCCUGGGACAGGAGGGGUUUAGCGGAGAACCCAGAGGACCUGGAGCUGGUUCAAGUCUAGGCUUGAGGGUAAUUGUUGGCUCCCCAGGGGAUCUACCGGGUCAACGGCGUGAAAACGCGUGUGGAGAAGCUGUGCCAGGCCUUUGAGAAUGGCAAAGAGCUGGUGGAGUUGUCACAGGCCUCACCGCACGACAUAAGCAAUGUCCUGAAGCUGUACCUACGGCAGCUGCCGGAGCCCCUCAUCUCUUUUCGCUUCUACCAUGAGCUGGUGGGAUUAGCUAAGGACAGCCUAAAGGCAGAGGCCGAAGCCAAGGCAGCAAGCCGGGGCCG
RNAcentral lists this long non-coding RNA (662 nucleotides) under Rattus norvegicus (Norway rat). RNAcentral describes it as "long non-coding RNA NONRATT026538". The record is from RNAcentral. Lineage: Eukaryota; Metazoa; Chordata; Mammalia; Rodentia; Muridae.